UGCAGGGGCUAUACCACCCUGAAUGUUCCUGAUCUCAUCUGAUCUCGGAAGCUAAGCAGGGUCAGGGGUCAGGCCUGGUUAGUACUUGGAU
Aotus nancymaae (Ma's night monkey) is the source of this 91-nucleotide ribosomal RNA. Lineage: Eukaryota; Metazoa; Chordata; Mammalia; Primates; Aotidae. The record is from Ensembl.